AGUGAACGCUGGCGGCAGGCCUAACACAUGCAAGUCGAGCGGCAGCGGGUUCCCGCGAGGGGAUGCCGGCGAGCGGCGGACGGGUGAGGAACACAUCGGAAUCUGCCUGGUUGUGGGGGAUAACGUAGGGAAACUUACGCUAAUACCGCAUGAGACCCUGAGUCGACGGACUGGGGGGUGAAAGUGAGGGACCUUCGGGCCUCACGCGACCAGAUGAGCCGAUGUCGGAUUAGCUAGUUGGCGGGGUAACGGCCCGCCAAGGCGACGAUCCGUAGCUGGUCUGAGAGGAUGAUCAGCCACACUGGGACUGAGACACGGCCCAGACUCCUACGGGAGGCAGCAGUGGGGAAUCUUGGACAAUGGGCGCAAGCCU
Molecule: ribosomal RNA, 373 nt
Filed under: uncultured bacterium
Lineage: Bacteria
Description: bacterial SSU rRNA
Rfam family: Bacterial small subunit ribosomal RNA
Source: RNAcentral